Molecule: long non-coding RNA, 806 nt
Organism: Melanaphis sacchari
Lineage: Eukaryota; Metazoa; Arthropoda; Insecta; Hemiptera; Aphididae
Exons: 3
Source: RefSeq, a predicted model, not a curated record
UUAUUAAUAAUAAUAUUGUGAUAACGUCCGGAUCGUUGCACGGGCUAAUAAAAUAAUUACACGAUACAUAAUAUAGAUGAUCGUUAUUUUAGUCAUUUGUUUGGUGAUAAUAAUUAAUUUUUAUUUUCUCACCACUCGUCUCCUGACCCGUAGGUGUGUUUUAACCAUUUUACGGGUAAACAUUAAUGUACGCCAACUGUGUUGUUGGCCUACUACCGAUCACCACGACUGUUAUUAUACACUUCGACUUAGUAGAGGGACUACAAACAACUGUUUCAACACACAUUUAUACAGCAUCAUGUUAUAACGUUACAGAUACGUGUUCGCCAGCUACUAAUAUGGAGCUCUUCUACACCAUUCGACGGUUGGAUUUUGUAGUGGCGAAUACGUAAAAUGCUCUAUUCCCAGGAUCUAGGUAUCUAUGUAUUAUGUUGCAAGAUCCCUACAUCAAUUUAUUUUUUAUUGUGCAAUAAAUUAUGACAACAAUUUUCUAAUCAAUCCUCAUAUUUGGACUGAUCCCGGCAACUAAGGCCAUUAGCUGUGGAUAGGAACAGUAGGUUUUUUUUGUAAGAUUUAUAAAGUUUUGGAUAGUACACAGUUGGAGCACGUGUGUGUAUGUGUGUGCGCAAUGGAUUCAUCACUAAGAACUCGGGUAGUCACCCAUCUGAAAGCUAGUGACGACAGCCGAUGCUUGACCUCAGAACAUAUUAAUGACUGAGACAACCACCGCACCACACCAGUCCACUUUUUAAGUUUUAUUUAUUAUUUAUUGUACAAAUAAAAUUAGUAUGAAUUAUAUGAUAAUA